Molecule: ribosomal RNA, 254 nt
Filed under: uncultured bacterium
Lineage: Bacteria
Description: partial 16S ribosomal RNA
Rfam family: Bacterial small subunit ribosomal RNA
Source: RNAcentral
CACGUAGGGGGCGAGCGUUGUCCGGAUUUAUUGGGCGUAAAGAGCUCGUAGGCUGUUCGAUAAGUCGGGUGUGAAACCUCCAGGCUCAACCUGGAGACGCCACCCGAUACUGUCAUGACUAGAGUCCGGUAGGGGAGCGUGGAAUUCCUGGUGUAGCGGUGAAAUGCGCAGAUAUCAGGAGGAACACCAAUGGCGAAGGCAGCACUCUGGGACGUGACUGACGCUGAGACGCGAAAGCGUGGGGAGCAAACAGG